UUAAGGAAGUUUUCGGAUGGAAUUGAUGAAUCUUAGUGGCGGACGGGUGAGUAACGUGUGGGCAACCUGCCCUUUACAGGGGAAUAAUCAUUGGAAACGAUGACUAAUACCGCAUGACAUCUUUGGUAGGCAUCUACCGAAGAGAAAAGGAGUAAUCCGGUAAAGGAUGGGCCCGCAUCUGAUUAGGUAGUUGGUGAGAUAACAGCCCACCAAGCCGACGAUCAGUAGCCGACCUGAGAGGGUGAUCGGCCACAUUGGGACUGAGACACGGCCCAAACUCC
Molecule: ribosomal RNA, 281 nt
Filed under: uncultured Bacillota bacterium
Lineage: Bacteria; Bacillati; Bacillota
Description: uncultured Firmicutes bacterium partial 16S ribosomal RNA
Rfam family: Bacterial small subunit ribosomal RNA (bases 41-281)
Source: RNAcentral